This 468-nucleotide ribosomal RNA is filed under the name uncultured bacterium. Its description in RNAcentral is "partial 16S ribosomal RNA". It matches the Rfam family "Bacterial small subunit ribosomal RNA", at positions 28 to 507 of the family's 1533-position model. The record is from RNAcentral.
GACGAACGCUGGCGGCGUGCUUAACACAUGCAAGUCGAACGGAAAGGCCCUGAGUUCGUGGGGUGCUCGAGUGGCGAACGGGUGCGUAACACGAGAGUAACCUGACCCUGACUUUGGGAUAACUUCAGGAAACUGGGACUACUACCGGUUCGGAGCUCCUGCCGCAUGGUGGGGGUCGGAAGGUUUCGGCGGUGGGGGAUGGACUCGCGGCUUAUCAGCUUGUUGGUGGGGUAGUGGCUUACCUAGGUUUUGACGGGUAGCCGGCCUGAGAGGGUGACCGGCCACAUUGGGACUGAGAUACGGCCCAGACUCCUACGGGAGGCAGCAGUGGGGAAUAUUGCACAAUGGGCGGAAGCCUGAUGCAGCAACGCCGCGUGCGGGAUGACGGCCUUCGGGUUGUAAACCGCUUUCGCCUGUGACGAAGCGUGAGUGACGGUAAUGGGUAAAGAAGCACCGGCUAACUACGUG